RNAcentral lists this long non-coding RNA (540 nucleotides) under Androctonus crassicauda. Lineage: Eukaryota; Metazoa; Arthropoda; Arachnida; Scorpiones; Buthidae. The record is from RNAcentral.
GUUCAAUGAGUUUUUCAGUAUCCAUGAUUAAAAGUAAUGCAAGAAAGACGAAACGAUGUUAAAAGGCUCAAUGACUGAGCUAAAGUUCAACCUGUUGAGUCCACAUAAGUCGUGACUUGACUGAAACUAGUCUGGACUUGAUGUGACACUAUGAGUGUGAAAGCAAAUUAUUUAGUUCUUGGUAUUUCAAGGCUAUAAAAGUUGGGCGAGUCCACAUGCAUCUGAUGUGACCGGACUGGACUUGAUGGGACUGGAUUUGAUGAGCUCUGUGUGAAAUGACCCUAAGUUGUAUGCUAUUAUGUCAAUGUUGCAUUUAUAUCAUAGAGAGGAAAUUCACGAGUCUAAUGAUGUUAUUUGGUAUCUUAAUAACAACAUCUAUAAGCUUAAAAGUCAGUUGGCCAGUGGCUGUAGAAAAGGCAAAAUAAAAUUUUUUGGGUAUUUUUUAAAAAUAAUUACUAAAUAUUUUUUAUAUCAAUAUAGUGCUUUUAAGUUUUUGAUUUAUUCUCUUUAAUUUUUAUUCCAUCUGAUAUUUGUAUUGAG